RNAcentral lists this transfer RNA (98 nucleotides) under Xylaria sp. FL1777. Its description in RNAcentral is "tRNA-Pro". It matches the Rfam family "tRNA". From Rfam's summary of the family: Transfer RNA (tRNA) molecules are approximately 80 nucleotides in length. The record is from RNAcentral. Lineage: Eukaryota; Fungi; Ascomycota; Sordariomycetes; Xylariales; Xylariaceae.
GGCUCAAUGGUCUAGUGGUAUGAUUCCUGCUUCGGGUCGCACCCUUCCAUCUUACGUGGGAAUGCAGGAGGCCCCGGGUUCGAAUCCCGGUUGAGCCC